RNAcentral lists this microRNA precursor (58 nucleotides) under Saimiri boliviensis boliviensis (Bolivian squirrel monkey). RNAcentral's name for it is "miRNA (ENSSBOG00000001163.1)". The record is from RNAcentral. Lineage: Eukaryota; Metazoa; Chordata; Mammalia; Primates; Cebidae.
AAAUGUAAUUGCAGCUCUUGCCAUUACUUUCAGUGGCAAAAACUGCAAUUCCAUUUGC